RNAcentral lists this ribosomal RNA (251 nucleotides) under uncultured prokaryote. RNAcentral's name for it is "partial 16S rRNA". It matches the Rfam family "Bacterial small subunit ribosomal RNA", at positions 525 to 775 of the family's 1533-position model. The record is from RNAcentral.
ACGUAGGUGCCUCGCGUUGUUCGGAAAGAGUGGGCGUAAAGGGUUCGUAGGCGGUUUAUUAAGAUUGGUGUGAAAUCCCAAGGCUCAACAUUGGAACUGCAUUGAUUACUGAUGAACUAGAGUGUCGUAGAGGAAAGCGGAAUUCCAGGUGUAGCGGUGGAAUGCGUAGAUAUCUGGAAGAACACCGACAGCGAAGGCAGCUUUCUGGGCGAUAACUGACUCUGAGGAACGAAAGCAUGGGGAGCAAACAG